Molecule: ribosomal RNA, 438 nt
Filed under: uncultured bacterium
Lineage: Bacteria
Description: partial 16S ribosomal RNA
Rfam family: Bacterial small subunit ribosomal RNA
Source: RNAcentral
CUACGGGGGCAGCAGUGAGGAAUAUUGCACAAUGGGGGGAACCCUGAUGCAGCAACGCCGCGUGGAGGAUGACGCAUUUCGGUGUGUAAACUCCUUUUAUAUGUCAAGAAAAUGACGGUAGCAUAUGAAUAAGCGCCGGCUAACUCCGUGCCAGCAGCCGCGGUAAUACGGAGGGCGCAAGCGUUACUCGGAAUCACUGGGCGUAAAGGACGCGUAGGCGGGUUGAAAAGUCAGGUGUGAAAGCCUACAGCUUAACUGUAGAACUGCACUUGAAACUCUCAAUCUAGAGUAUGGGAGGGGCAGAUGGAAUUAGUGGUGUAGGGGUAAAAUCCGUAGAUAUCACUAGGAAUACCUAAAGCGAAGGCGAUCUGCUGGAAUAUUACUGACGCUAAGGCGUGAAAGCGUGGGGAGCAAACAGGAUUAGAUACCCCCGUAGUC